GGACGAUUGCUCAACGCAGUCACGUUCUUUCCAUAUCUGAAUUGGACUACUAGCGGACCCAAGAAGUUUCCCAUUCUCAUCAAACAGACCAGCGCGGGCGCUGCCGGUGCCAACAUCGACGCCGAGGAAAACAGAGCGACGNGUGGCAGUGACGGUGGCUGACAUCUCGACGGAAAAAGAAGCGGAGGUGGAAGAGCGAUGAGAAGAAUCGUAGAGAGGAGAAGAACGUUGUUGUGGGUCAAGCAAUGGUGUGGUAUCCGACCACGGCCUCCUUUUACCAGACAUGUCCUUGUUUUUUCUAUUGAUUUAGUGAUUUUCUAUAGUUAUAUUUUUUUUUUUUGGGUUAAUUGUGGAAGAUUAGAGAUUCGGAUGAAAAAUCUGGAUUUUUUU
RNAcentral lists this unclassified non-coding RNA (390 nucleotides) under Hevea brasiliensis (rubber tree). Lineage: Eukaryota; Viridiplantae; Streptophyta; Magnoliopsida; Malpighiales; Euphorbiaceae. The record is from RNAcentral.